Molecule: long non-coding RNA, 275 nt
Filed under: Erythranthe guttata (spotted monkey flower)
Lineage: Eukaryota; Viridiplantae; Streptophyta; Magnoliopsida; Lamiales; Phrymaceae
Description: long non-coding RNA (EGUT_LNC001988)
Source: RNAcentral
CUUCUUUCUGUUUCAAUGCAUCAUUAGAUAGCUGAUUACCCCCUAUACCUAUACGACCGCAGUUCGGCUGAUUUAUGUUCAAAAUUUCAUUCAAAGUUACCCUACCAGUAUUAAACUUAGAAAUAACAUCUUGGGUUUGAGCAAAUUUAGCCUUCAAGCUAUCUGUUUCUCUACUAGAAGAAAUAACAUUUUGUUCAAGAGUAGAAAUUCUUACCUUCAACACUUUAUUUUCCUCAAUUAGGACAAGCUUCUCUUUUUCUAAGAAUUUAUUAGAC